UGGCUCAGGACGAACGCUGGCGGCGUGCCUAAUACAUGCAAGUCGAACGGUCUUUCUAUGGAAGCUUGCUUCCACUGAGAAGAUAGUGGCGAACGGGUGAGUAACACGUGGGUAACCUGCCCAUAAGAGGGGGAUAACAUCCGGAAACGGGUGCUAAUACCGCAUAGUUUUCUUGAUCGCAUGAUUGAGAAAGGAAAGACGGCCUUUGUGCUGUCGCUUAUGGAUGGACCCGCGGCGUAUUAGUUAGUUGGUGAGGUAAUGGCUCACCAAGACGAUGAUACGUAGCCGACCUGAGAGGGUGAUCGGCCACAUUGGGACUGAGACACGGCCCAAACUCCUACGGGAGGCAGCAGUAGGGAAUCUUCCGCAAUGGACGAAAGUCUGACGGAGCAACGCCGCGUGAGUGAAAGAAGGUUUUCGGAUCGUAAAACUCUGUUGUCAGAGAAGAACAAGUUGGAGAGUAACUGCUCCAGCCUUGACGGUAUCUGACCAGAAAGCCACGGCUAACUACGUGCCAGCCGCGGC
This 525-nucleotide ribosomal RNA is filed under the name uncultured bacterium. Its description in RNAcentral is "bacterial SSU rRNA". It matches the Rfam family "Bacterial small subunit ribosomal RNA", at positions 20 to 518 of the family's 1533-position model. The record is from RNAcentral.